Schistosoma margrebowiei is the source of this 44-nucleotide non-coding RNA. Lineage: Eukaryota; Metazoa; Platyhelminthes; Trematoda; Strigeidida; Schistosomatidae. The record is from Rfam.
ACCAGCUGACGAGUCCCAAACAGGACGAAACGCGCGUCCUGGAU